RNAcentral lists this long non-coding RNA (282 nucleotides) under Lathyrus oleraceus (garden pea). RNAcentral describes it as "Pisum sativum (pea) long non-coding RNA (PSAT_LNC039493)". Lineage: Eukaryota; Viridiplantae; Streptophyta; Magnoliopsida; Fabales; Fabaceae. The record is from RNAcentral.
UUUGAGUCAUCCUCAUAAAUUGCUAAUGAAAUAUUCUCACCCUUAAUUAUCUCUCUCUCAAUUCCUCUCUCUCCCUCUCCACACUCUAAUUUCUCCAUUAUUCACUAAUCUUGUGGUUCCAAGUUCUAACAAUUAUACUUCUCAAUAAAGGUAUCAAUCAAUUCAGUAUUAGAAAUAUAAAAAAAACAAUUAGGAAAAUGAAAAAUGAAACUAAAACUAUACAUUCUCUCAUAUAAAAAGAUAAAUUAUAAUAAUAAUAAAAAAUAUUCAUGGUGUAUUAAA